GCUGUACGCUGGCGGCGUGCCUAAUACAUGCAGUCGAGCGAACAGACGAGGAGCUUGCUCCUCUGACGUUAGCGGCGGACGGGUGAGUAACACGUGGAUAACCUACCUAUAAGACUGGGAUAACUUCGGGAAACCGGAGCUAAUACCGGAUAAUAUAUUGAACCGCAUGGUUCAAUAGUGAAAGACGGUUUUGCUGUCACUUAUAGAUGGAUCCGCGCCGCAUUAGCUAGUUGGUAAGGUAACGGCUUACCAAGGCAACGAUGCGUAGCCGACCUGAGAGGGUGAUCGGCCACACUGGAACUGAGACACGGUCAAGACUCCUACGGGAGGCAGCUGUAGGGAAUCUUCCGCGAUGGGCGAAAGCCUGACGGAGCAACGCCGCGUGAGUAAGGAAGGUCUUCGGAUCGUAAAACUCUGUUAUUAGGAAAGAACAAAUGUGUAAGUAACUAUGCACGUCUUGACGCUACCUAGUCAAACGCCACGGCUAACUACGUGCCAGCGGCCGCGUUAAUACGUAGGUGGCACGCGUAUCGGGAAUUCUCGCGCGUAAAGCGCGCGUAGGCGUUUUUUAAGUCUGAUGUGAAGCCCACGCCUCACCGU
RNAcentral lists this ribosomal RNA (600 nucleotides) under Staphylococcus epidermidis. Its description in RNAcentral is "bacterial SSU rRNA". It matches the Rfam family "Bacterial small subunit ribosomal RNA", at positions 28 to 616 of the family's 1533-position model. The record is from RNAcentral. Lineage: Bacteria; Bacillati; Bacillota; Bacilli; Caryophanales; Staphylococcaceae.